CGGUAGCAGGCCUUCGGGUGCUGACGAGUGGCGGACGGGUGAGUAAUGCGUAGGAAUCUGUCUUUUAGUGGGGGACAACCCAGGGAAACUUGGGCUAAUACCGCAUGAGNCCUGAGGGGGAAAGCGGGGGACCUUCGGACCUCGCGCUAAGAGAAGAGCCUACGUCUGAUUAGCUAGUUGGUAGGGUAAAGGCCUACCAAGGCGACGAUCAGUAGCUGGUCUGAGAGGACGACCAGCCACACUGGGACUGAGACACGGCCCAGACUCCUACGGGAGGCAGCAGUGGGGAAUUUUUCGCAAUGGGGGCAACCCUGACGAAGCAAUGCCGCGUGGAUGAAGAAGGCCUUCGGGUUGUAAAGUCCUUUCGUGGGGGACGAAAAGGAGGUUCCUAAUCGAG
RNAcentral lists this ribosomal RNA (397 nucleotides) under uncultured Acidithiobacillus sp. RNAcentral describes it as "bacterial SSU rRNA". It matches the Rfam family "Bacterial small subunit ribosomal RNA", at positions 67 to 469 of the family's 1533-position model. The record is from RNAcentral. Lineage: Bacteria; Pseudomonadati; Pseudomonadota; Acidithiobacillia; Acidithiobacillales; Acidithiobacillaceae.